This 671-nucleotide non-coding RNA is filed under the name Pan troglodytes (chimpanzee). Lineage: Eukaryota; Metazoa; Chordata; Mammalia; Primates; Hominidae. The record is from RNAcentral.
CUUUGUUUCAGGUAGUACAGUCAUGAAAUUGAGUAAGUCUCUUAAAAAAAUGAAAGUCCACAGAUCCCAUUGUGGAAGGUGCGGUGGCACGUGCCUGUAGUCCCAGCUACUCAGGAGGCUUAGACAAGAGAAUCACUUGAACCCAGGAGGCAGAAGUUAAAGUGAGCCGAGACUGCGCCACUGCACUCCAGCCUGGCUGACAGAGUAAGACCCCAUCUCAAAAAACAAAAACAAAAGAAAGGCAUAUUGACCAUCUUUGGUUUUGGUGUGUAUAAAUAAAAUAAAGGCAGCCACACCAAUCUGUGAUGUGAGGCGGCCAGCAGCUACAGGACAAGGCACAGCUGAAAUACAGAGGCAAGGCUGUUUGUCUUAAUAGUUCACUAUACAGUUUGUUUUAGGCAGCUUUCUGUACCUUUUAUUUUAUAAUAAAAAUAUAGAAGAUACAGUUAACCAUUAUAUAUAGAGAGAGGGGGGGUCCACUGAAGACUAGGAUGCUACUAUCAAGACAGAAACAGGUGGUUAUAAACUACAAUGUGCUAAGAUGAGAAUAAAGGAUCAAAGAGGAAAGGCUUGAGAGAAUCUAUACGAAGCUGUCACAACAAAAGUUAAAGUGACUUCAAUGUGAGGGCAAGAAAAUAUUUCAAGGCGCAGAGAGGCUAAAAUAAUCAAAG